This 1550-nucleotide ribosomal RNA is filed under the name Klebsiella aerogenes. RNAcentral's name for it is "bacterial SSU rRNA". It matches the Rfam family "Bacterial small subunit ribosomal RNA". The record is from RNAcentral. Lineage: Bacteria; Pseudomonadati; Pseudomonadota; Gammaproteobacteria; Enterobacterales; Enterobacteriaceae.
AAAUUGAAGAGUUUGAUCAUGGCUCAGAUUGAACGCUGGCGGCAGGCCUAACACAUGCAAGUCGAGCGGUAACACAGAGAGCUUGCUCUCGGGUGACGAGCGGCGGACGGGUGAGUAAUGUCUGGGAAACUGCCUGAUGGAGGGGGAUAACUACUGGAAACGGUAGCUAAUACCGCAUAACGUCGCAAGACCAAAGUGGGGGACCUUCGGGCCUCAUGCCAUCAGAUGUGCCCAGAUGGGAUUAGCUAGUAGGUGGGGUAAUGGCUCACCUAGGCGACGAUCCCUAGCUGGUCUGAGAGGAUGACCAGCCACACUGGAACUGAGACACGGUCCAGACUCCUACGGGAGGCAGCAGUGGGGAAUAUUGCACAAUGGGCGCAAGCCUGAUGCAGCCAUGCCGCGUGUAUGAAGAAGGCCUUCGGGUUGUAAAGUACUUUCAGCGAGGAGGAAGGCAUUAAGGUUAAUAACCUUGGUGAUUGACGUUACUCGCAGAAGAAGCACCGGCUAACUCCGUGCCAGCAGCCGCGGUAAUACGGAGGGUGCAAGCGUUAAUCGGAAUUACUGGGCGUAAAGCGCACGCAGGCGGUCUGUCAAGUCGGAUGUGAAAUCCCCGGGCUCAACCUGGGAACUGCAUUCGAAACUGGCAGGCUAGAGUCUUGUAGAGGGGGGUAGAAUUCCAGGUGUAGCGGUGAAAUGCGUAGAGAUCUGGAGGAAUACCGGUGGCGAAGGCGGCCCCCUGGACAAAGACUGACGCUCAGGUGCGAAAGCGUGGGGAGCAAACAGGAUUAGAUACCCUGGUAGUCCACGCCGUAAACGAUGUCGACUUGGAGGUUGUGCCCUUGAGGCGUGGCUUCCGGAGCUAACGCGUUAAGUCGACCGCCUGGGGAGUACGGCCGCAAGGUUAAAACUCAAAUGAAUUGACGGGGGCCCGCACAAGCGGUGGAGCAUGUGGUUUAAUUCGAUGCAACGCGAAGAACCUUACCUACUCUUGACAUCCAGAGAACUUAGCAGAGAUGCUUUGGUGCCUUCGGGAACUCUGAGACAGGUGCUGCAUGGCUGUCGUCAGCUCGUGUUGUGAAAUGUUGGGUUAAGUCCCGCAACGAGCGCAACCCUUAUCCUUUGUUGCCAGCGAUUCGGUCGGGAACUCAAAGGAGACUGCCAGUGAUAAACUGGAGGAAGGUGGGGAUGACGUCAAGUCAUCAUGGCCCUUACGAGUAGGGCUACACACGUGCUACAAUGGCAUAUACAAAGAGAAGCGACCUCGCGAGAGCAAGCGGACCUCAUAAAGUAUGUCGUAGUCCGGAUUGGAGUCUGCAACUCGACUCCAUGAAGUCGGAAUCGCUAGUAAUCGUAGAUCAGAAUGCUACGGUGAAUACGUUCCCGGGCCUUGUACACACCGCCCGUCACACCAUGGGAGUGGGUUGCAAAAGAAGUAGGUAGCUUAACCUUCGGGAGGGCGCUUACCACUUUGUGAUUCAUGACUGGGGUGAAGUCGUAACAAGGUAACCGUAGGGGAACCUGCGGUUGGAUCACCUCCUUACCUUAAAGAA